GCGCCCGUAGCUCAGCUGGAUAGAGCGUCUGACUACGAAUCAGAAGGUCGGGAGUUCGAAUCUCUCCGGGCGUACCA
Molecule: transfer RNA, 77 nt
Filed under: Candidatus Aminicenantota bacterium
Lineage: Bacteria; Candidatus Aminicenantota
Also listed under: 1 other name
Description: Candidatus Aminicenantes bacterium tRNA-Arg
Rfam family: tRNA
About the family: Transfer RNA (tRNA) molecules are approximately 80 nucleotides in length. Their secondary structure includes four short double-helical elements and three loops (D, anti-codon, and T loops). Further hydrogen bonds mediate the characteristic L-shaped molecular structure. tRNAs have two regions of fundamental functional importance: the anti-codon, which is responsible for specific mRNA codon recognition, and the 3' end, to which the tRNAs corresponding amino acid is attached (by aminoacyl-tRNA synthetases). tRNAs cope with the degeneracy of the genetic code in two manners: having more than one tRNA (with a specific anti-codon) for a particular amino acid; and 'wobble' base-pairing, i.e. permitting non-standard base-pairing at the 3rd anti-codon position.
Source: RNAcentral